AUUAUUAUUAUCUUCAAAUAUAGUGCUAUAAGAUACACAAAUAAACCAGGCCAUAAACAAUUGUUAAUGUGCACCCCAGCUCAGUUGGAGCGGCAUCUGUGUGGUCCACGGUGUACAUCGGAUCUCCAGUCCUGUGGCUUAGACUCAAGCCCAGCUCGAUGACAAACGAACGUUCAGCAUCCAGUGCUCGGCACCGGACAUUCAACAUUCGCAUUCAACAUUCGGCAUCCAACAUUCAACAUUCAACAUCCAGCGCAUUCGACAUUUGGCAAGUGGUCAACCGCUCAACGUCGCAGUCGGUGGGCAGGAAAAUUGAAAAAUUAACAAGUAUGAAAUGUGCAAUUAAAGUGGGCUAGUCCCGUCCCGUCCCCCACAUUACCUACCCAGCUACCCACCUACCAGUGGGGUAAUUCGAGACCCUAGAUCUCCUCCUCAAACUCCCUCGGAAGUCUAGGAAAGUGAGGAUGACAACGACUGGGACAACGAUGUCUACACCUGAGCUGCAGGAACCAGGAGCAAGAGGCGAAUUAUUAAUCUACUUUUAAUUGCAGCCACCCGGAGGAGCUUCUUAGCAGAAGGAACUAGGUACUUGUUGUGGCACUUAGCUCCACCCCGAGAUCAGGCACCAUUGAUUAAUGUGCGCCAAUUGUGAAAU
This is a non-coding RNA of Drosophila melanogaster (fruit fly), 655 nucleotides long. The record is from Ensembl. Lineage: Eukaryota; Metazoa; Arthropoda; Insecta; Diptera; Drosophilidae.